This is a long non-coding RNA of Suricata suricatta (meerkat), 433 nucleotides long. RefSeq lists it as uncharacterized. NCBI's taxonomy places the organism in Eukaryota, Metazoa, Chordata, Mammalia, Carnivora, Herpestidae. The transcript is spliced from 3 exons. The record is from RefSeq and is a predicted model, not a curated record.
UCUCCCCCAGAGGUCAUAGCCCCUCUCUCUCCUCAAAGCUUUUUAACAGCGCCCGCCCGGCCUCAGAACCGCCCAGAGAGGAGCCGCCCUGGAUGGACAGAGGGACGGAGGGACGCGCAUCCAGCCGGUCGCGUCCAGCUGCCCGCAGCGGUCUCCGACUCUUGCUGCUGCCUGCCCGCUGCCCGCCUGCCCGGCAUCUCUCGAUCCCGGUACCUGUUGGGAGGAUCAGUUUUCCCUAGUCUACGGCUACUGGAAGCUCAGAGUCAGACAGUGACUUGCCCAGGAUCCCCCGGUCACAGGAUGGUAGGAUCUGGGCUUGAGCUUGGGACACUAUGUGGCAGAGGAAUCGCCGUCCAUGUUAAAGUAUCCGUUAAAGUUUUUAAAUGUUUACUUAUUUUUGAGAGAGAGGAGGGGCAGAGAGAGGGAGACAAGG